RNAcentral lists this ribosomal RNA (237 nucleotides) under uncultured bacterium. RNAcentral describes it as "partial 16S ribosomal RNA". It matches the Rfam family "Bacterial small subunit ribosomal RNA", at positions 118 to 347 of the family's 1533-position model. The record is from RNAcentral.
UGAGGAACAUGACCUUCGGCGGGGGAUAGCCGGCCCAACGGCCGGGUAAUACCGCGUACGACCACUUUGGGACAUCCCUCGGUGGUGAAAGCAGCAAUGCGCCGAUGGAGUGCCUCGCGGCCUAUCAGCUAGUUGGUGAGGUAACGGCUCACCAAGGCGACGACGGGUANCUGGUCUGAGAGGAUGGCCAGCCACAGUUGGGACUGAGACACGGCCCAGACCUCCGUACGGGAGCAG